This 324-nucleotide ribosomal RNA is filed under the name uncultured eukaryote. RNAcentral's name for it is "partial 18S ribosomal RNA". It matches the Rfam family "Eukaryotic small subunit ribosomal RNA", at positions 1470 to 1796 of the family's 1831-position model. The record is from RNAcentral.
CCCUUAGAUGUUCUGGGCCGCACGCGCGCUACACUGAUGCAUUCAACGUGUUUCUUCCUGGUCCGAGAGGAAUGGGUAACCUUUUGAAAGUGCAUCGUGAUAGGGAUAGACUAUUGCAAUUAUUGGUCUUCAACGAGGAAUUCCUAGUAGACGUAGUUCAUCAGACUGCAUCGAUUACGUCCCUGCCCUUUGUACACACCGCCCGUCGCUCCUACCGAUUGAAUGCUCAGGUGAGCCAUUCGGACUUUCAUCAUGCUGGUUUCCAGUUUUGAUGAAGGAAAGUCUUGCGAACCUUAUCAUUUAGAGGAAGGAGAAGUCGUAACA